GCCUUCGUGGUGUAGCGGUCAGCACGCUCGACGCGUAACCGAGAUGUCGGUGGUUCCAUUCCCGGCGAAGGCG
Non-coding RNA from Stegodyphus mimosarum, 73 nucleotides. Lineage: Eukaryota; Metazoa; Arthropoda; Arachnida; Araneae; Eresidae. The record is from Rfam.